This 402-nucleotide ribosomal RNA is filed under the name uncultured bacterium. RNAcentral describes it as "bacterial SSU rRNA". It matches the Rfam family "Bacterial small subunit ribosomal RNA", at positions 355 to 774 of the family's 1533-position model. The record is from RNAcentral.
UGGGGAAUCUUGCACAAUGGAGGAAACUCCGAUGCAGCGACGCCGCGUGAGCGAAGAAGCCUUUCGGGGUGUAAAGCUCUUACGCCAGGGACGAUAAUGACGGUACCUGGAGAAGCAGCUGCGGCUAACUACGUGCCAGCAGCCGCGGUAAUACGUAGGCAGCAAGCGUUGUUCGGAGUUACUGGGCGUAAAGAGUGCGUAGGCGGUUUUCUAAGUUCGGUGUGAAAUCUCCCGGCUUAACUGGGAGGGUGCGCCGAAGACUGGGAAGCUGGAGUGUGGGAAAGGCAGGCGGAAUUCCUGGUGUAGCGGUGAAAUGCGUAGAUAUCAGGAGGAACACCGGCGGUGUAGACGGCUUGCUAGACCAUAACUGACGCUGAGGCACGAAAGCGUGGGUAGCAAACA